Molecule: long non-coding RNA, 1492 nt
Filed under: Homo sapiens (human)
Lineage: Eukaryota; Metazoa; Chordata; Mammalia; Primates; Hominidae
Description: HSALNT0098411
Source: RNAcentral
GUGCAGUGGCGCAAUUUCAGCUCACUGUAGCCCCCACCUCCCAGGUUCAAGUGAUUCUCCUGCCUCAGCCUCCCGAGUAGCUGGGACUACAGGCACGCGCCACCAUGCUCAGCUAAUUUUCGUGUUUUUAGUAGAGAUGGGGUUUCACCAUGUUGGCCAGGAUGGUCUUGAUCUCUUGACCUCAUGAUCCACCCACCCCGGCCUCCCAAAGUGCUGGGAUUACAGGCGUGAGCCACUGUGCCUGGCCCAGAUUAAAUACUUCUUUAGAAGAUGGACUAGAAAUGGGUCAUCAGAAAUUGUUUUUACUUACAUAUGAAGAAUUCCAAUCUUCAAAAAAUUUUAGAACUCAAUCAGAACUUGAGAACUUCUUUCAGUAGGUGCUGUGAUUCAAUAACCAGAAUUCUGCUUUACUUUAUAGUUACACAAGUAUUUCUGUCAUUUUCCUACUAAAUUACGUGAAGGGGGUUGUCUGCUUAUGAGCUGCACCACCGAGCAGCAUGCCUAUCAGUGAGAAGGUGCCUGACAAUUCUCAGUUGAAAUGUCCUGACCAAGUUCCCCCAGAAAUUUAUGACUAAUAACAAAAGGGAAAAGCUACCCUCACAAGGAGAUGUCCAGUUGACACUAUCUCAACCAAAAUUAUUAAACAUAGCAUCAGCAAUCGUGGGACAAACAGACGCAAACAUCUCCUGGUGUGAGGUGCAUCAAGGAAAACAAUCUACAAGAAACAAAAUGGUGAGAAAAAGCAGCACACUCACGGCUCUGAAGAGCACAGCAUAAGGCUACAAAAAGGACCAAGCACCUUCUCAACCUGCAAUGUGCUCAGUGUCUGUAAAUCACAAGUUAGGUGAUGAAGGGCUGGUAGUUUCCCAUGAAUUAAUAACUUUCCUUCUUGCCCCCGUGUUAUCUCCCUCACCUGACCCCCGCCAAUAAAACAUCCUUAAAAGGCUCCUCUCAAAUUCCUUGCAAACAUUAGGCUCCUCUCAAAUUGCUUGCACAUGCUUGGAGAAGCUCACAGUGGUUAGUACACUCAUACACAACUGAACUUGAGCGACACAAAGCUUACAAGACAGCAAAGACAACAGCAAAGCUGGGCCCAGCAGCCAUCACCUAAAGAACUCUUCACUCGUUACAUUGGAGCAGGUGAUCUCUCUGGAACCAGGAACCACAGAACACUGAAGGACACGGAGCUGGUGGCUAAGGAUUCAAGGCCUGCAGUGAAAAUGUAACAUUUCCCUCCAAGUGCUUAUUUCUGCUAUAAACUGGUUUAGUUUUGCAAUGAACAACUAGAUUUCUAACUGAUAUUCACGUUAAUAAACUUUUCUUUUUUAAGACAGGGUCUUGCUCUGUCACCCAGGCUGGAGUGCAGUGGUGCAGUCAUGGCUUACUGGAGCCUCAACCUCCUAGGCUCAACCAAUCCUCCUGCCUCAGCCUCCCAAGUAGCUGGGGCUACAGAUGGAUGCUACCAUGCCCAGCUAAUUAAAGGAUUUUUUUU